UACGGAGGAUGCGAGCGUUAUCCGGAUUUAUUGGGUUUAAAGGGUGCGUAGGCGGCUUUUUAAGUCAGCGGUGAAAUUUUGCAGCUUAAACUGUAACAGUGCCGUUGAUACUGGGGAGCUAGGAUUUGGUUGCUGUGGGUGGAAUGUGUGGUGUAGCGGUGAAAUGCUUAGAGAUCACACAGAAUAUCGAUUGCGAAGGCAGCUCACAAAGCCAAGAUUGACGCUGAGGCACGAAGGCGUGGGGAUCAAACAGGAUUAGA
RNAcentral lists this ribosomal RNA (260 nucleotides) under uncultured prokaryote. RNAcentral describes it as "partial 16S ribosomal RNA". It matches the Rfam family "Bacterial small subunit ribosomal RNA", at positions 524 to 782 of the family's 1533-position model. The record is from RNAcentral.